RNAcentral lists this unclassified non-coding RNA (21 nucleotides) under Mus musculus (house mouse). Its description in RNAcentral is "oocyte_clustered_small_RNA6740". Lineage: Eukaryota; Metazoa; Chordata; Mammalia; Rodentia; Muridae. The record is from RNAcentral.
AAUACUCCAGCGAGGGCAGCG